GACGAACGCUGGCGGCGUGCUUAACACAUGCAAGUCGAACGGAAAGUCCCUGCUUUUGUGGGGUGCUCGAGUUGCGAACGGGUGAGUAACACUUGAGUAACCUGCCCUUGACUUUGGGAUAUCUUCAUGCAACUUGGUCUAAUACCGGAUAGGAGCUCCUGCUUCAUGGUGGGGGUUGGAUAGUUUCGGCGGUUGGUGAUGGACUCGCGGCUUAUCAGCUUGUUGGUUGGGUAGUGGCUUACCAAGGCUUUGACGGGUAGCCGGCCUGAGCGGGUAACAGGACAAACUGGGACGGAGAUGAGACACAGACUAGUACGGGACGCGACAGUGGAGAGGAUAACACAGUGGACGGAGGGAAGGUGCAGCCACGCAGCGUGCGGGAUGAGGGGAAUCGGGUUGUAAAGCGCUGUCGCCUGAGACGAGACGAGAAUGACGGUAAUGGGUAAAGAAGCACCGGCUAACUACGUG
This 468-nucleotide ribosomal RNA is filed under the name uncultured bacterium. RNAcentral describes it as "partial 16S ribosomal RNA". It matches the Rfam family "Bacterial small subunit ribosomal RNA", at positions 28 to 507 of the family's 1533-position model. The record is from RNAcentral.